This 465-nucleotide ribosomal RNA is filed under the name Vreelandella stevensii. RNAcentral's name for it is "partial 16S ribosomal RNA". It matches the Rfam family "Bacterial small subunit ribosomal RNA", at positions 338 to 795 of the family's 1533-position model. Lineage: Bacteria; Pseudomonadati; Pseudomonadota; Gammaproteobacteria; Oceanospirillales; Halomonadaceae. The record is from RNAcentral.
CCUACGGGUGGCAGCAGUGGGGAAUAUUGGACAAUGGGGGGAACCCUGAUCCAGCCAUGCCGCGUGUGUGAAGAAGGCCCUCGGGUUGUAAAGCACUUUCAGUGAGGAAGAACGCCUGGUGGUUAAUACCCAUCAGGAAAGACAUCACUCACAGAAGAAGCGCCGGCUAACUCCGUGCCAGCAGCCGCGGUAAUACGGAGGGUGCGAGCGUUAAUCGGAAUUACUGGGCGUAAAGCGCGCGUAGGUGGCUUGAUAAGCCGGUUGUGAAAGCCCCGGGCUCAACCUGGGAACGGCAUCCGGAACUGUCAAGCUAGAGUGCAGGAGAGGAAGGUAGAAUUCCCGGUGUAGCGGUGAAAUGCGUAGAGAUCGGGAGGAAUACCAGUGGCGAAGGCGGCCUUCUGGACUGACACUGACACUGAGGUGCGAAAGCGUGGGUAGCAAACAGGAUUAGAUACCCGAGUAGUC